RNAcentral lists this transfer RNA (77 nucleotides) under Candidatus Acetothermia bacterium. RNAcentral's name for it is "tRNA-Arg". It matches the Rfam family "tRNA". From Rfam's summary of the family: Transfer RNA (tRNA) molecules are approximately 80 nucleotides in length. Their secondary structure includes four short double-helical elements and three loops (D, anti-codon, and T loops). RNAcentral also lists the same sequence under 1 other name. The record is from RNAcentral. Lineage: Bacteria; Candidatus Bipolaricaulota.
GCGCCCGUAGCUCAAGUGGAUAGAGCAGCGGCCUUCUAAGCCGCGGGUUGGGGGUUCGAGUCCUCCCGGGCGUACCA